This 493-nucleotide ribosomal RNA is filed under the name Staphylococcus sp. Its description in RNAcentral is "bacterial SSU rRNA". It matches the Rfam family "Bacterial small subunit ribosomal RNA", at positions 202 to 686 of the family's 1533-position model. Lineage: Bacteria; Bacillati; Bacillota; Bacilli; Caryophanales; Staphylococcaceae. The record is from RNAcentral.
AGACGGCCUUGCUGUCACUUAUAGAUGGAUCCGCGCCGUAUUAGCUAGUUGGUAAGGUAACGGCUUACCAAGGCAACGAUACGUAGCCGACCUGAGAGGGUGAUCGGCCACACUGGAACUGAGACACGGUCCAGACUCCUACGGGAGGCAGCAGUAGGGAAUCUUCCGCAAUGGGCGAAAGCCUGACGGAGCAACGCCGCGUGAGUGAUGAAGGUCUUCGGAUCGUAAAACUCUGUUAUCAGGGAAGAACAAACGUGUAAGUAACUGUGCACGUCUUGACGGUACCUGAUCAGAAAGCCACGGCUAACUACGUGCCAGCAGCCGCGGUAAUACGUAGGUGGCAAGCGUUAUCCGGAAUUAUUGGGCGUAAAGCGCGCGUAGGCGGUUUUUUAAGUCUGAUGUGAAAGCCCACGGCUCAACCGUGGAGGGUCAUUGGAAACUGGAAAACUUGAGUGCAGAAGAGGAAAGUGGAAUUCCAUGUGUAGCGGUGAAA